This is a non-coding RNA of Gossypium hirsutum (cotton), 512 nucleotides long. NCBI's taxonomy places the organism in Eukaryota, Viridiplantae, Streptophyta, Magnoliopsida, Malvales, Malvaceae. The record is from Rfam.
CUAGUUGAUCCUGCCAGUAGUCAUAUGCUUGUCUUAAAGAUUAAGCCAUGCAUGUGUAAGUAUGAACAAAUUCAGACUGUGAAACUGCGAAUGGCUCAUUAAAUCAGUUAUAGUUUGUUUGAUGGUAUUUGCUACUUGGAUAACCAUAGUAAUUCUGAGCUAAUACGUAUAACAAACCUCGAAUUCUAGAAGGGAUGCAUCUAUUAGAUAAAAGGUUGACGCGGGCUUUACCCGUUGCUCUGAUGAUUCAUGAUAACUCGCCGGAUCGCACGACCUUUGUGUCGGCGACGCAUCAUUCAAGUUUGUGCCCUAUCAACUUUCGAUGGUAGGAUAGUGGCCUACUAUGGUGGUGACCGGUGACGGAGAAUUAGGGUUCGAUUUCGGAGAGGGAGCCUGAGAAAUGGCUACCACAUCCAAGGAAGGCAGCAGGCGGGUCGGCCCCUACUGCCGGUGAUGCGCUCUAAUAAACGCCAAAUUAUAUAUAUUUUUACCCCAAAUACUUAGCAUAUUUA